CAGCAUUUGAAUGCACAGACUCUUUCAACUGCUUUAAAAAUUACUUCUUAAGCUGAGGGCUUUCUGACCCAAUUCCUCACUGCCCUCUCCGAAGUUUUAGAAUUGUCUUCAAGGGCAUCGCCUACUUUUCAAUGGCUCUGAACAGAAGAAUUGUAGUCUAUAGGUGGUGAGGACUGAAAGGCAUUUUAAAUUAAAGAUCCUCUUUAGAAUGAUUCACAAGCUUGAUCUGGCAUCCGCACCACCCAGAGAGUUUGUUACAAUAGACAUUGUUGGGCCCACACUCAGAGUUUCUGAGUCAGCGGGUCCAUGGUGCGAUCUGACCAUUUCAACUUCCAACAAGGUCCCAGGCGAGGCUGAUGCUGCUGGAUCAAACUUUGAGAACCACUGAUCGCUUCUGUAACAAGCACCAGAAACACGGGAAUCUGGAAAACACAGGUUUAGUGCCUGCCCAGGGGUUGCUUCUGGCCAGCGGGGAAGACCAUGUGGCAACAUCAGUGAUCACUCCAGUUAAAAACACACUGGGAAGUUGCAUGACCCAGAGUGUAAUUUUUCAUGCUGAAGCUUGAUGGAUUAAAUAGCUCUGGACUCAGGAGAACUCUGCCCCAACAGGAACAAUAAAAUAAGCCACAGUCAGCGUGUCCCACAGAAGACAAAUGUCUCUCUAGCAGCCAUCCUUCCAGUCGGGCACCCUCAGAUUCACCGUGUGUCUAGAAGGACUUCCAGAACUCAGAGAAGCUGCCAUACUCACAAUCGUAACUUGUUACCGUGAGAAGGGACCGAUUCAAGUCAGCCACAGUAAACAGAGGUCUCUCCAGCACAGGACAGGCACCAACUUCCGCUUGUCCUCUCCCAGAGAGGGGGAACGGAAGGGGGAAGAGAGGGAGAGAAACAUUGAUGCGAAAGAGAAACAUGGAUUGGGUGUUUUUCAUACGCACCCUGACCGGGGAUGAAACCUGCAACCCAGGUAUGUGCCCUGAUCAGGAACUGAACCGGGGAUCUUUCUCUUUGUGGGACAAUGUCCAACUAACUGAGCAGCCCCAGUCAGGGCCCUGGUUCCCACUUUAUGUGAUCCGGGGAGGACUGAACCCCUGACUUAGGAGGUGGAGCAUAUCUGCUUGCCUACAGUGAUUCAGAGAGAAACAUGUGGCUCAUUCAGGUGGAACAGAGAAAUCCCAGGGUCUGUGAGGGGCUUACAGAUGGGAUCCAAACCUGGAGGCUAAAGCCUGGAACCACAGCUCCAUCUCAUCCUCACGGUCCUAAGGUCAGAGGCCAUGCGAGAAUGGAACUGGCACAGAGCAGAAGUCAGGAGGAUGUCAAUCAACCCAUGGACUUAUCACACCCCCACGCCCAAUGUAUUAAUCACAUGAACUAAUUAAUUUCGUUUCCUUUGAGAAAGAGUUAAUUGGGGCCAUUUGUAAUGAAAUGAGCCCUAUUUGAUAGAGAUGGAAUUGCUUUUCCUUGUCUUUGCUUUCAUUUGUUUAUUUGGGAUAGGUUUGAGAGCACCUGCAGUGUGUGAGUCCCAAAAAUGAGAAAAGAAACAUAUUGAGAAAUAUUUCUGGACACUGUUGAGUCCAGCAGGGUCUCCUGGUGAGUUCAGGAAAUACAAGCAGAUAACUUGCAUUGUUUGAAAUUGAGCUUUGGUGACUGACACACAGCUCUUUUUUUCAUAUUGCACCACUCUAACACCCAUGGUUUGUGCCUUUAUUGAUAAAAUAAAGCCUGGAAUCCAGCCUUUAUGGAUAAAACAGACCAUAUUAAGGCCUUCGUUUAUAAUAUCCUCUCAGCGGGAAAGCCAUGCUUUCCUGCUUCAUGAACCCCCUUUCUUGAUGAACUCUUACUCAGUCUCUAAUGCCAAUGUCUGACCCCUAAAUGGGCUCCCUUGUGUUUUCCUGGCAGCCACCUCUUACCUCUCUCAUCACAUGGGCCAUGUGGUCCUGAUUCUCUCCCACUGGACUGCAAGCUGCUUGAAGAUAAGGUUGACUCACAUGCCUUUGUAUUUUUAGCAUACAUCACAGAUCUUGGCACAUGCUGGCUGUGCCGGAUGGCUUUGUUUAUGCCCACCCCCAAGUCCACUCUGCACUUCCUAACUCUGUAUCAUGGAAACUGACCUGUAUAGAUGACAUCAGCAGGAUUUCUUAUCUUGUGGUUUCCACUCAGGUUUGGCUAGUGGGAAGCAGCAAGAGAAUAAAGGGGAGAAAGGGAGGUUGGGAUGCUUCUCCCUUGGCUCUUUCUAGUCAAUCUACCGUGGUUGCCUCUGUCUGUCUACUUAAGGCCACAGGUCCCCUUUCAGGGUUCCAGGUCCCAAUCCCUCUCCUUGGCUCUCCAGACCCAUGAGUGACAAGGGUUCCUCUUUUUAACCCAAGAGUAUUGUACCGUUCUUUGCUGGUUUCCACAACCCCUGGCCACACUUUUAUUAAACUCUCCUUUAAUUCCUAACUCUUUCCUAUUGGAUAGCGACUGUAGGUAGGUAAUCAACAUGUUUUAAAGAAUCAGUUAUUCAGCAGCAGUCCCCAACCUUUUGAGCAGCAGGGACCGGUUUUGUGGAAGACAAUUUUUUCACAGACCGGGAGGGGGGCAUGGUUUUGUGAUGAUUUAAGUGCUUUACAUUCAAGCUCACCUCCUGCUGUGUGACCUGGGUCCUAACAGGCAUGGACAGGUCCAUUGCCCAGGGGUUGGGGACCCCUGAGUUAUUGGAUGGAUGAUAAAAAUAGGGAUUGAGUAAAUGGAUAACUGCCACGAAUAGUAUUGGAGUGUCUCAGAUAUGUCUUUAUUAUGAUCCGAGAGUGUGCUUGACUGGCUUGAAUGAGCACAAUCUAAGAUUGAUUGGGGUUAUCAACUUGGACUAAGAACAAAGAACACUCGUUAGCGUCCUGACGUCAGUCAGAGGGCCGGUGCUGUAGACCAGAUUGAAUUUUCCGAUGUAUUGGUGGGGGAGAUAAGGCGUGAGCAAGAGAUAAUUAACAUGUUGAGUGAGGGAGGUCAGAGGCUCAAUUAAAUGUCAAAGCAGAGACAGGACAGGAAGUACAUGGGCUUAGAGAAGGAAGAGGUGGGUCAGUGUUUAGAUACACACUGGGGUUUGCCAGGGAAGGCUUCACAGAUGCUGUUGUCCUGUGUCCGCAUUCUUCCAUGAGGGACUUAGGAGAUGCAGGUAUAUACAUAUGUGUGUUUGAGAAGUUUAACAGGUAAAUCAAAUCUUUUUCCUUACUACCACAAACUACCCACAGAUACACAUGCAGACACACACAGACACACACCAUACUAUACACAGACACACCACAGUUCUGCUUCACAGGCUCAUAGUUGGCAUGAGUCUGGAAGGGCCUGUAGAAAUUCCUCCCGAGAAAUUCCAUUUUCAUGUUGCUUGCAGGCAAAAGCAAAGACACUUGCCUCAGUCUCUAGACUCCCCCAGUGUCUCGAUCAUAAUGAUUUAUUUUGCCUCUGGAAACAACCUUCCCUGUUAGUUCUCCUGUUGUCAAAGAGCCUGUGUGAAGUGGACCUGACAAGGUUGUGGCAUUUUAUGUCAUUUCAUUAGUGAGGGUUUCUUUGCCAUUAAUGUCACCUUCACUCUAUCGCAGACCUUCCUUCCACACCCGGGUUCUCAUGUUGCUCUUAAUUGAACUAUUUAAAUAAACUCAAUUUUUAGCUUGCUUUUACCAAAAUCACUCUUAAUAACUGCUAUUAUCUCUUACAGUUACAAUAAUCACUUUGGCUCAGAGUGACUCACAACAUUAGCUCUCAGUCCAAUAAACCUUGACAAUCGUGUUUGGUGGAAGACGUGGUUGCUGUAAGUAAGGGAACAGCUGUGACGGCUUGGCCUGGUGGGUCACAGGUAUACUGACAAGUCAGGGAGGCUCAGGGCUUCCCAAGGAAAUAAAUGAAAGGUUGAAGGACCCCUCGCUGCGUCUUGAGAUUGGGAGGUAGUGCAGAAAAAAUUCUUUCAUUUUAUAGUCUCUGAACUCGGACUAUUUAAACUCAUCUCUGCCACCUAUAGGCCUUGUGUUCUUAGGCAGCUUUUGGAAGGUCCUGUGCCGCAACAUCCCCAUCUGUAAAAUGGGUGUGACACAAUGGAUACCUAUGCUCACAACUGUUUCAACAAUUUUCAUUUCUGAUUGACCUGUGCCCAAGCUGGUAGAUAUUUUGGCUACCACCCCAGGAUACAACCAUAUUUUCUGGUUUUUGUGUGAGGAUUAAGUGGGUCACCAGUACAAAGGCCUUAGCACUAUGCAAGGAAUGUGGGAAACACUUGCAAAUACUGGUUGCUGUUAUAAUUAUUCAUUUUUAUUAUUAUUUCUCAAGGGCUUCAGUGGGACUGUAAGUGGUAUCUGAUAAAAUCCUAUGCUAACUACUAAAUUGGGAUGAUUAGAACCACAGGAUUUUAUAGGUGAGGAAAUCAAGAUCAGCACAGUUGAAUAAAAAGCUAACAAGUCGCGAAGAUGGCAUUGAAUGUCAUCUAGUCAAAACUGAUCACUUCUCCAAGAAUAUAUUAAUAUGUCUCAGACCUUUUCAGAAAUCAAUCGAACUCUGUACCUGUUCAUAAUCUAUAUAGGAAUUUAAUUGCUGAUGUUCUAUCCAAAAUGUACACACAGAUUUUUCAGUGCAAAGGUAUAUAAAAUUCCAAGGUGUGAUCAUUAAAAACAGCUCUUUUUUUUUUUCAUUCUCUGUCUUUUUCACUAGGAUUUAAACUCCACAAGGACACAGAUUAUGUCUGGUUUCUUCAUUUCUAUAUCCUCAAUACCUAAAACAGCGCUUAGCACAUCAUUAAUGUGCAAUAAAUAUUUAAUGAGUGAAUAAAUGAAUCUUCAGACAUGCAGAAUGUAGCUGAAACAGAAAUAAAUUCUACAGAUAUAUAAAGAGAUUUGAAUAAAGCGAAAGAACUGACAGAUUUUUGGGUGGAAAGAGUUAACGUUGUAAAAAUGCCAAAUGCUCGAAUAACCUAUGAAUUCACAGCAUUUCCACUCAAGGAAAUUGACUUUUUGGUUUUGGAACUUGAAAAGUUAUUAUAAAUUUCAGCUGGAAGAAGAAAGAAAAACAGGAGGGGUUUUGCCCUGCCAAGCACGUGGGCGCGCCCACCAGAGUCAGCAGUGCAGUCAGCGGAAGGUGCAGGUUCAACCCCGGUGAUGUACAAAAACAUGAAAUGUUUUCUUCUCACUGACACUGUUAACUGCUCUGUUGAAUCUUCCUUUCUCGCUGGUUAGCAGCCAUUUUAAGCAUUCCAAUGAUUAAAACAGUCUAUUUUUAGUCUAGAUCAUUCUAAAGCCUUCAUCUCAAACUCUCACCUUCCACAGCCCCUUUGGUAUAGACUCAGUGUGUGGCCAU
This is a long non-coding RNA of Artibeus jamaicensis (Jamaican fruit-eating bat), 5316 nucleotides long. RefSeq lists it as uncharacterized. The record is from RefSeq and is a predicted model, not a curated record. Lineage: Eukaryota; Metazoa; Chordata; Mammalia; Chiroptera; Phyllostomidae. The transcript has 5 exons.